UAUGAACGCUGGCAGCGUGCCUAAUAUAUGCAAGUUGAGCUAACAGACGAGGAUGUUGCUCCUCUGACGUUAGCGGCGGACGGAUCAGUACCACGUGGAUAACCUACCUAUAAGACUGGGAUAACUUCGGGAAACCGGAGCUAAUACCGGAUAAUAUCUUGAACCGCAGGGUUCACUAGUGAAAGGCGGUUUUGCUGUCACUGAUAGAUGGCUCCGCGCCGCAUUAGCGAGUUGGUAAGGUAACGGCUUACCAAGGCAACGAUGCGUAGCCGACCUGAGAGGGUGAUCGGCCACACUGGAACUGAGACACGGUCCAGACUCCUACGGGAGGCAGCAGUAGGGAAUCUUCCGCUAUGGGCGAAAGCCUGACGGAGCAACGCCGCGUGAGUGAUGAAGGUCUUCGGAUCGUAAAACUCUGUUAUUAGGGAAGAACAAAUGUGUAAGUAACUAUGCACGUCUUGACGGUACCUAAUCAGAAAGCCACGGCUAACUACGUG
RNAcentral lists this ribosomal RNA (497 nucleotides) under uncultured bacterium. RNAcentral describes it as "partial 16S ribosomal RNA". It matches the Rfam family "Bacterial small subunit ribosomal RNA", at positions 29 to 507 of the family's 1533-position model. The record is from RNAcentral.